GACGAACGCUGGCGGCGUGCUUAACACAUGCAAGUCGAACGGAAAGGCCCUGCUUUUGUGGGGUGCUCGAGUGGCGAACGGGUGAGUAACACGUGAGUAACCUGCCCUUGACUUUGGGAUAACUUCAGGAAACUGGGGCUAAUACCGGAUAGGAGCUCCUGCUGCAUGGUGUGGGUUGGAAAGUUUCGGCGGUUGGGGAUGGACUCGCGGCUUAUCAGCUUGUUUGUGGGGUAGUGGCUUACCAAGGCUUUGACGGGUAGCCGGCCUGAGAGGGUGACCGGCAACAGUGGGACUGAGAUACGGCCCAGACUCCUACGGGACGCAGCAGUGGGGAAUAUUGCACAAUGGGCGGAAGCCUGAUGCAGCAACGCCGCGUGCGGGAUGACGGCCUUCGGGUUGUAAACCGCUUUCGCCUGUGACGAAGCGUGAGUGACGGUAAUGGGUAAAGAAGCACCGGCUAACUACGUG
This 468-nucleotide ribosomal RNA is filed under the name uncultured bacterium. RNAcentral's name for it is "partial 16S ribosomal RNA". It matches the Rfam family "Bacterial small subunit ribosomal RNA", at positions 28 to 507 of the family's 1533-position model. The record is from RNAcentral.